Molecule: ribosomal RNA, 253 nt
Filed under: uncultured bacterium
Lineage: Bacteria
Description: partial 16S ribosomal RNA
Rfam family: Bacterial small subunit ribosomal RNA
Source: RNAcentral
UACGAAGGUGGCUAGCGUUGCUCGGAAUCACUGGGCGUAAAGGGUGCGUAGGCGGGUUUUUAAGUCAGGGGUGAAAUCCUGGAGCUCAACUCCAGAACUGCCUUUGAUACUGAAGAUCUUGAGUCCGGGAGAGGUGAGUGGAACUGCGAGUGUAGAGGUGAAAUUCGUAGAUAUUCGCAAGAACACCAGUGGCGAAGGCGGCUCACUGGCCCGGUACUGACGCUGAGGCACGCAAGCGUGGGGAGCAAACAGG